This 1287-nucleotide long non-coding RNA is filed under the name Nicotiana benthamiana. Its description in RNAcentral is "long non-coding RNA (NBEN_LNC015712)". The record is from RNAcentral. Lineage: Eukaryota; Viridiplantae; Streptophyta; Magnoliopsida; Solanales; Solanaceae.
UGAAUUUGUGACAGAGCCGUACUACUCCUAAUUAAAGACAUGAAUCUUGCAGCUUCACCCAAGAUUGGGCUUAUAACAUUCCUCGUGAUAGCAUUAGUUGGUUAGUCUCUGAUCUCUUUUACCUCCCACUCCAUAUAUGUUCUUCUUUCCUUUUUCCAAAUUUAUAAACAUAUAUUUAAAUUGUUGAUCUCGGUUAAACUUUCUGUUUUUGAUUUUCCCCCCCUAUAAUCGUUCAUCCUUUGCAACUUAAUUACUUGAUUAAUCCAGAUUCACAUGUGAAAAGUCAGUAGUGCUCCCUACCAAACUCAUCACACAUAUGCUUUAUCUAUUUUUUUUUGUUUCAAACAUUUUCAAGAAGUGGUGAUCUUGGUUAAUGUCUUUUUAUUGUAUAUCAGUCUCGUUGUCUGAAAUUCAUUGCUCCAACUAAUUCGAAUUGGCAAAGAUAACAAUCAUGAGGUUGACAACUAUUUACAAAAAGAACUCUAUUUCUACGAACACCAAAACUCUGGUUAUGGGAGAAAGAACCUUAUCAUUCUACCAUAUUUCUUUGGUGGUGGUUAAAGUUAGUCACCGAAAGGACUCUAUUUUGGUUAGUCUAUCUUAUUCCUUUUAGUCUAUUCCAAAAGAUAACUUUCUUUUAAUUUAAAAAGAAUUAAAUUUAAAUUUUUUAUUUUACCAUAAUUAAAAAGUUUUAUAGCUACACAAAUAUUAUAGAUAUUUAGAACCAUAAGUUUUAAAAAUAUAAUAACCAUACAAAUGCUAUAAAUAUUCAAGAUCACACAUUUUAGAAGUUUUAUUAAACUGUCAGCCAAACAAAUUUACAUAAAUUAAAGCAUUAAUAAUCAUAUUUGACAUAGAAAUUGAAAAUGUAUGUCUCUUGGACUUUCUCGAAGAAAAGAUGGCUACCACUAUAUCAAAAAAAUAGAGACUAUUUAUUACUUUUAAUAUGAUAGAACUAUAGAAGUAGAUAUCCCUUUUCAAACAUACAGAGAAAGCAAGUAGGUGAUUAUGCGAUUGGGACUUGUUUCAGGAAGCAGAGUAGAGGCAGAUAAUUGGAUUUGCGACUGUGAAAUGCUGAAGCGAUGCUUGCCACUAUGUCCAGCAGGAGCUUACUGCACCCAUACAGGUGUCUGCACCUGUAUUCCACCACAUAUGAUCGCCUCUCUUAAGCUGUCAAAAUUACUCAGAAACCAAUAUGAUAUUUGUAUCGAUCAUUAUCCAUAGACAUGCAUGCAUGUACUGUUCCCUUAUUUUUACAAUCAACUUUUAUUUGAUUUUGAAGUCCUA